GAACUUCAUUCCUCAACAUUCCUUGCAGCUAAGGAAAACCAAGUGACUGAGUUCUGGUCAAUGAAAUAUGGAUAGAAGUAAGCACGGGAGAGCCACUACCCAGUGUUGACCGAGAGAUAAGGAAGAACCAGGGAAAACUUCUGUCCUGCAGCUUGAAGAGUUGAGAGUUGUGCUUUGCACAGUGAUGGUGAGAACUACCCAGAAAGCAUGGGAAAGGGCAUCAGCGAGCCUUUACUCACGUCUCCUGGGAGGUUAUGCGAACUGAGAAUGGCAUCAUUUCCAGCUACUGGGACCCUGUAGAAACAAACGCAGCUGCCAAUGUGUUGGGGAGAAAAGAGGCAUUCCAGGAUGACAGACGUGGUUGGGACAGGGAACUGGGAUGACCACUGGGCCUCUUGUUUGAGCCAUGGGGCCACUGGUAACAGGGCAUCAGGUUUUGAUGAGUCUCUUCUGAGUUCUCACAACACUGCUUAGGACCUGAGUUUCCAUGCGGAAGGCCAGCUGCAAUCGUCAGUGACACAGUGACGUGCAGCCAGCAGUACCCCGCCCCCGUCCCCUGGUCUCAGCAUCUAAGACCAGACCCCUAAAAUCGCAAGCUGAAGGAAACCAUUUGGUAGCAAGGAACUGGCUCCAUCCAUCCUUCUCCAGCCAGAAUGGCUCAAGAAAAGCAUGGGUGUUAAGCCCUGAAGUCAUUUGUUAUGUCCCACAGCAUAAAUGGGGGAGGAAAGUCUGCUAAUCCACUAAUGGCUUCCUCAAACAGCACAUAAUUCAGAACCUUUGCUGUUUCCCAGCUGACAAAACGCCCUGUUAAUAAAAACAUCUCAAAGCAGCCCAUUCCCAAUCUUGUUUUGACUUUGGAAUUAAUGUCUGGUCUCCUGUGUUUUGAGUUAACAAGAUUUCCCUGCAUGUGCUACGCAGCUCCAUCCCUCACAACUCAAUCAAGCACUGGCCUGACUUCAUUGGUGUGGUUGAAGGCAGGGUGGAGCCAUCGACCGCUCUCCUCACGUGGCAUGAAUUCCCCUUUCUCAAGCACAGAGCCCCAUGCGACAGGCAAACACCCCUCAUUCCAGGCAGCGGUGGCUGCAACGGGCAUGCUCAGCGGGGUGGAUGGAGGUUUGUCAUCCAGGUCAAAUAACGUGAAGGUGUCUGACACAAGCAGUCGUUGUCACUUAGUAAUGUCUUCUCUCGUCGCUGUCCUGUGAACAGAGAGCUUUGCGGCUCUCCCCAGGUUAACUCAGCCCCGCAACACAAAGCAUACAAGAAGCUCACAGGAUGGAGACCUAUCUCUGUCUGCCCCUUUUA
Molecule: long non-coding RNA, 1302 nt
Organism: Mesocricetus auratus (golden hamster)
Lineage: Eukaryota; Metazoa; Chordata; Mammalia; Rodentia; Cricetidae
Exons: 3
Source: RefSeq, a predicted model, not a curated record